Molecule: ribosomal RNA, 112 nt
Organism: Erinaceus europaeus (western European hedgehog)
Lineage: Eukaryota; Metazoa; Chordata; Mammalia; Eulipotyphla; Erinaceidae
Source: Ensembl
GUCUACGGCCAUACCACCCUGAACACGCCCGAUCUCGUCUGAUCUCGGAAGCUAAGCAGGGUCGGGCCUGGUUAGUACUUGGAUGGGAGAAAACUGUUUAGUUCUUUGGCCC